Molecule: ribosomal RNA, 253 nt
Filed under: uncultured bacterium
Lineage: Bacteria
Description: partial 16S ribosomal RNA
Rfam family: Bacterial small subunit ribosomal RNA
Source: RNAcentral
CACGUAGGGGACGAGCGUUGUCCGGAUUCAUUGGGCGUAAAGCGCGCGUAGGCGGCUCGGAAAGUCGGUCGUGAAAUGCCGGGGCUCAACCCCGGGACUGCGUCCGAUACUCCCGAGCUGGAGGCAGGUAGGGGAGAUCGGAAUUCCUGGUGUAGCGGUGAAAUGCGCAGAUAUCAGGAGGAACACCGGUGGCGAAGGCGGAUCUCUGGGCCUUACCUGACGCUGAGGCGCGAAAGCUAGGGGAGCGAACAGG